Taeniopygia guttata (zebra finch) is the source of this 556-nucleotide non-coding RNA. NCBI's taxonomy places the organism in Eukaryota, Metazoa, Chordata, Aves, Passeriformes, Estrildidae. The record is from RefSeq and is a predicted model, not a curated record.
CAGUCACAGAACUCAUCACACCAGGCUUUUUUUAUGUUAGUAAUGUCAUUUCUCUGGACUGGGCCAAAGCUUCGAGUUUUUGUUUGUUCUUCAUGCUGCCCAUGUCGGACUAGGAACAUUUCAAAGAUUCUGGCUUAGUGGCCCUUUCUUCUAGUGAAUGCAGAAAAACACAGAACUUAAUAACAAAACCAUGGAUUUAGUUUGACGCUCGUGUCUGCUUCUCAGUCAAGUGACAAUGUCAAACAGAUGAAAAAUCUAAGGAGAUGGAGCUCAUUUUUAAUAUCCAUGGGAUGAGUUGAUAGUAUCAAUAUGAUUUCCUUCCAGGCCUGCACUAGCCACCAUGCAAAAAAAUGGCUGUUGAGUGUUGUUGGGAGCACUCACUAUUAUCCAGAGCAUGGAGAAAUAUCUGCUUAAGUACCUUGCAAAGAGCAUUAAGAAAAGGAUUCAGCUAAUUUCAGAGACUAUAAGAAAAUAUUCUAUACCUUUCUACAAUGACCAAAACAAUGCCACAGACAACUGUACAAGAAAAUAAAGAAUUUUCCAUAUUUUAUCAUGA